GUGACCUCGAUCAGGAGAACCAC
RNAcentral lists this ribosomal RNA (23 nucleotides) under Xylaria apiculata. Its description in RNAcentral is "partial 28S ribosomal RNA". The record is from RNAcentral. Lineage: Eukaryota; Fungi; Ascomycota; Sordariomycetes; Xylariales; Xylariaceae.